UAAAUCGUACAAUCUACUACAUUUGGAGC
RNAcentral lists this small RNA (29 nucleotides) under Bombyx mori (domestic silkworm). Its description in RNAcentral is "piRNA piR-bmo-1639851". Lineage: Eukaryota; Metazoa; Arthropoda; Insecta; Lepidoptera; Bombycidae. The record is from RNAcentral.